AUUUUUUUAACUCUUCAGGAUAUUUACAUCAUUCAACAGGACAAACAAAUAUUUCUCUGAGAUAGAUUAAGCAAAGAAGUAUGAAAAUGUUAACUAGAAUAAAUGUGGAAAAUAAUGCCCAGUUCUGAGAAAUGAAAUCUAUGUAUACUACAUUAGUACACAUACAAAAGUUUGCUCAAAAUCUUUCUUUCCAUAACAGAUCAAAGUCCACAUUUCACAUAGAACAUGUUCAAACCUGUCAUGUCAAAACUGCUACAGACCACAUCAAAAUUUGUCACUGACCAAGUCAAAGCAGCCUCACAACAAUAUCUUGUUACACAAUUCUAUUUGCUCUGUCCUUGUAUACAUCUAAAACUAGCUGGUCGAUCACAAUAUAAUUACAUCACACAACUUUUCAAUCCUUUCAAUUCAAUAAACCCAGUCAACACAGUACAAAAUGAAAGUUGGU
Molecule: non-coding RNA, 448 nt
Organism: Biomphalaria pfeifferi
Lineage: Eukaryota; Metazoa; Mollusca; Gastropoda; Planorbidae
Source: the annotation of a GenBank genome assembly